UCUCAAUUGAUGGGUCAAAAUAUUGAAGGUCUGGAGGGAAAGGACUCAAAUCAUGGUGAAACAAUUAUUUAUGCAGAUGAGUGGGUAUUCCUUGUUCCAGACCUUAUAUGUGAUACUGCCAAUGGAGUUUUGUGGAAGAUCCAUUUAGAUCUGGAGGCCAUUUCUUCUAGCAGCUCAGAAGUGCAAACAGUCCUCGAAUUUUUGCAGAGGAGGAAAUUAGAAGCAAAUAAGGCUAAACAGUUGUGUUUGGCAAUGACUCGGACAAUUAUUCUCGAACGACGACCUGUGCCCAUGGUUGCAAGGGUGAUAGAUGUCCUAGUCAACUGUUUCUCUCUUUCAAUAAAAACGGGAAAACAUCAUAUGGGAUCAAAAGUGAAGAGAAGUUCAACAACCAGUGGUUCUAAUGUUAAUAGUGCUAUUGAUGAAUCCAUCAGUCAAGCAGAUACCUCUGAGAAGUCACCAAAACAAGAAAGUGGUAGUGGCACGCAUGACAAGUCUAUUGUGAAAUCCUCUUCCGUUACUUCUGAGUCUGAAGACAAUGUUAGUUCUGCACAAAAUAGAGGCAAAUCUAUAAAUGUCGAUUUAUCUAGUAGUGAACAAAAUGGAGGUAACUUGGUUGGGACAGAUGUAUCAGGUGAUGAAGCUCAGCCUUCUGUUGUACGACCUCAAGCUCCUGGAUCAGGUAGCACUUCCCUAAGGACUGAUGAACAGCAGGAGUCUCUCGUAACUUCUGCUGCAAUAUCUCCAGAUGAUCUGUGCAGCUUUGUGUUUGUUCCUGUAGAGGAGGAAAUGGCUGGGGAUUCUUCUUACUUAGUUGCAAUCGUUGUUGAGUUCCUACGCAGUGCUAACCUGGAAAGGUUGAAAGUGCCUCUGAAUAUUUAUGUAUUGAUGAUACAACUGCUAGCACGGAACGAAAAUUAUGCAGAACUUGGAUUGUUCAUCAUGAAUAAGAUAAUUGAGCCCUCAAAAGAAGUUGCAAUGCAAUUACUAGCAUCAGGCAGGCAUAAUUUUCAAACAAGGAGGUUGGGCCUAGAUAUGCUCAGAGAACUUGCAUUGCAUCAUGACUAUGUCCUGCUACUUGUUCAAGAUGGAUAUUAUCUUGAAGCUUUACGUUAUGCCAGGAAAACUAAGGUGAAUACUGUUCAGCCUUCAUUGUUUCUUGAGGCAGCUUAUGCUUCUAAUGACUCGCAACACCUGGCUGCUGUUCUAAGAUUUUUCUCAGACUUCAUUCCUAGGUUCAAGAGCACUACUGAUCACCAAACUUUUAGUCGUUAUCUUGCCGAGAUGAGUACAAUGAUUACUGCUUCAGGCACCAAAUCUUGACAUAAAUGAAGAAGUUGGAUCACUCUGUUCCCCCUUGAAGAUCAAUGAUUCAGUUUAUUGUUGAAUGUCAAAGUUCUGAAAAAUGGCUGUGGGGCUUCAUGCAAGCACAGUAAGAACCAGAUACCGCUGUAACAUGUAAAAACAGUCAUUAAUAAGCUUUAGCUUUUUGGAUGAGACUUUUAACGCGUAUUACAGAAAUAAGUUUUUGAAAUGCUGAGGACUAGUAAGAUAGAUGUAAUUAUCAUACUCCAUUUUCCUGGUGAUCAUAUUCCUUUUUAAAUUAUUUUUUUUGGGAGGUGGACCAA
RNAcentral lists this unclassified non-coding RNA (1628 nucleotides) under Hevea brasiliensis (rubber tree). Lineage: Eukaryota; Viridiplantae; Streptophyta; Magnoliopsida; Malpighiales; Euphorbiaceae. The record is from RNAcentral.